GAAUGUGAAGAUAAUCCAUUGGCAACACGUCAUUUCCUUGAUCAACAUGAUUGAUGAGGCUUAUUUGAGUGGCUGAGAAUGUUUCUCUUUCCUCCCUUACAGUUCCAUGUGCAUCCCUUCCAAAGCCACAUGCUCAAUCAAAGAAGAUGGAUGAUCUUUCCAGAUAGAGUAGUGCUGUUCUUUAGUCAAGGAUAUAGAGUGGUUGUGUUUCCAUACCAGAACCUCUAUUCCAGUGGUUCUCAAACUUCAGCAUGCAUUAGAAUCACCGGGGUGAGGGUGGGGUGGGUAUUAAUGUAUACGUUGCUGGGCCCCCACUCCCAGAGCUU
Unclassified non-coding RNA from Panthera pardus (leopard), 326 nucleotides. Its record names the gene 7SK. It matches the Rfam family "7SK RNA". Rfam says of the family: 7SK was discovered as an abundant small nuclear RNA in the mid-70s but a possible function has only recently been suggested. Lineage: Eukaryota; Metazoa; Chordata; Mammalia; Carnivora; Felidae. The record is from Ensembl.